RNAcentral lists this small RNA (207 nucleotides) under Corynebacterium halotolerans. Its description in RNAcentral is "c-di-AMP sequence". It matches the Rfam family "c-di-AMP riboswitch aptamer (ydaO/yuaA leader)". From Rfam's summary of the family: This family represents a conserved RNA structure found upstream of the ydaO and yuaA genes in Bacillus subtilis and related genes in other bacteria. The ydaO/yuaA element is thought to act as a genetic "off" switch for the ydaO and yuaA genes in its native state. The record is from RNAcentral. Lineage: Bacteria; Bacillati; Actinomycetota; Actinomycetes; Mycobacteriales; Corynebacteriaceae.
CUGAAAACUAAGCCGAAUCUCCGCCCACGCCGUACCCACUCCGGGACGGCCGGGCGGGGAGCCGGGGAACCACCACAGACCAUCUGGGGUGAAUCCUCCGCGAGAGCGCCGCACGAUCCUCACCGGUCCGUGCGGCGUGGGCCGGGGGAGGGAAGCUUCCGUACUCCCAACCCGCCAGCUAACCCGGUAGGCACACAGGAAGAUUUG